Molecule: ribosomal RNA, 1479 nt
Filed under: Klebsiella pneumoniae
Lineage: Bacteria; Pseudomonadati; Pseudomonadota; Gammaproteobacteria; Enterobacterales; Enterobacteriaceae
Also listed under: 4 other names
Description: partial 23S ribosomal RNA
Rfam family: Bacterial large subunit ribosomal RNA
Source: RNAcentral
GGUUAAGCGACUAAGCGUACACGGUGGAUGCCCUGGCAGUCAGAGGCGAUGAAGGACGUGCUAAUCUGCGAAAAGCGUCGGUAAGGUGAUAUGAACCGUUAUAACCGGCGAUGUCCGAAUGGGGAAACCCAGUGCAAUUCGUUGCACUAUCGUUAACUGAAUACAUAGGUUAACGAGGCGAACCGGGGGAACUGAAACAUCUAAGUACCCCGAGGAAAAGAAAUCAACCGAGAUUCCCCCAGUAGCGGCGAGCGAACGGGGAGCAGCCCAGAGUCUGAAUCAGCUUGUGUGUUAGUGGAACGGUCUGGAAAGUCCGACGGUACAGGGUGAUAGUCCCGUACACCAAAAUGCACAGGCUGUGAACUCGAAGAGUAGGGCGGGACACGUGGUAUCCUGUCUGAAUAUGGGGGGACCAUCCUCCAAGGCUAAAUACUCCUGACUGACCGAUAGUGAACCAGUACCGUGAGGGAAAGGCGAAAAGAACCCCGGCGAGGGGAGUGAAAAAGAACCUGAAACCGUGUACGUACAAGCAGUGGGAGCACCUUCGGGUGUGACUGCGUACCUUUUGUAUAAUGGGUCAGCGACUUAUAUUCUGUAGCAAGGUUAACCGUAUAGGGGAGCCGCAGGGAAACCGAGUCUUAACUGGGCGUUAAGUUGCAGGGUAUAGACCCGAAACCCGGUGAUCUAGCCAUGGGCAGGUUGAAGGUUGGGUAACACUAACUGGAGGACCGAACCGACUAAUGUUGAAAAAUUAGCGGAUGACUUGUGGCUGGGGGUGAAAGGCCAAUCAAACCGGGAGAUAGCUGGUUCUCCCCGAAAGCUAUUUAGGUAGCGCCUCGUGAACUCAUCUUCGGGGGUAGAGCACUGUUUCGGCUAGGGGGUCAUCCCGACUUACCAACCCGAUGCAAACUACGAAUACCGAAGAAUGUUAUCACGGGAGACACACGGCGGGUGCUAACGUCCGUCGUGAAGAGGGAAACAACCCAGACCGCCAGCUAAGGUCCCAAAGUCAUGGUUAAGUGGGAAACGAUGUGGGAAGGCACAGACAGCCAGGAUGUUGGCUUAGAAGCAGCCAUCAUUUAAAGAAAGCGUAAUAGCUCACUGGUCGAGUCGGCCUGCGCGGAAGAUGUAACGGGGCUAAACCAUGCACCGAAGCUGCGGCAGCGACACUAUGUGUUGUUGGGUAGGGGAGCGUUCUGUAAGCCUGCGAAGGUGACCUGUGAGGGUUGCUGGAGGUAUCAGAAGUGCGAAUGCUGACAUAAGUAACGAUAAAGCGGGUGAAAAGCCCGCUCGCCGGAAGACCAAGGGUUCCUGUCCAACGUUAAUCGGGGCAGGGUGAGUCGACCCCUAAGGCGAGGCCGAAAGGCGUAGUCGAUGGGAAACAGGUUAAUAUUCCUGUACUUGGUGUUACUGCGAAGGGGGGACGGAGAAGGCUAUGUUAGCCGGGCGACGGUUGUCCCGGUUUAAGCAUGUAGGCUG